AAUCAUCGUCUGGGGUGCUGAAAGGCUGAGAAUAUACCCAUGAACCUGAUGUCGGUAAUACGAUCGAAGGAAGUGCGAUAUUUGACUGUG
Molecule: non-coding RNA, 90 nt
Filed under: Weissella paramesenteroides
Lineage: Bacteria; Bacillati; Bacillota; Bacilli; Lactobacillales; Lactobacillaceae
Also listed under: 1 other name
Description: TPP sequence
Rfam family: TPP riboswitch aptamer (THI element)
About the family: Vitamin B(1) in its active form thiamin pyrophosphate (TPP) is an essential coenzyme that is synthesised by coupling of pyrimidine and thiazole moieties in bacteria. The previously detected thiamin-regulatory element, thi box was extended, resulting in a new, highly conserved RNA secondary structure, the THI element, which is widely distributed in eubacteria and also occurs in some archaea. Analysis of operon structures identified a large number of new candidate thiamin-regulated genes, mostly transporters, in various prokaryotic organisms.
Source: RNAcentral